UGCAUCGGCCGGGAAUCGAACCCGGGGCCGCCCGCGUGGUAGGCGAGCAUUCUACCACUAAACCACCGAUGC
This 72-nucleotide transfer RNA is filed under the name Cordylochernes scorpioides. RNAcentral describes it as "tRNA-Gly". The record is from RNAcentral. Lineage: Eukaryota; Metazoa; Arthropoda; Arachnida; Pseudoscorpiones; Chernetidae.